RNAcentral lists this ribosomal RNA (253 nucleotides) under uncultured bacterium. Its description in RNAcentral is "partial 16S ribosomal RNA". It matches the Rfam family "Bacterial small subunit ribosomal RNA", at positions 524 to 776 of the family's 1533-position model. The record is from RNAcentral.
UACAUGGGGUGCAAACGUUGCUCGGAAUUAUUGGGCGUAAAGCGCACGUAGGCGGUUCGUUAAGUCGGAUGUGAAAGCCCUCGGCUCAACUGAGGAAGUGCACCCGAAACUGGCGAGCUUGAGUACGAAAGAGGAUCGCGGAAUUCCCGGUGUAGAGGUGAAAUUCGUAGAUAUUCGGAAGAACACCAGUGGCGAAGGCGACUCGCUGGACAGGUAUUGACGCUGAGGUGCGAAAGCGUGGAGAGCAAACAGG